MicroRNA precursor from Theobroma cacao (cacao), 126 nucleotides. The record is from Rfam. Lineage: Eukaryota; Viridiplantae; Streptophyta; Magnoliopsida; Malvales; Malvaceae.
AAAGAAAAAUGUAGCCAAAGACGACUUGCCCACUUCAUCUAUAUCCAUUUUUUCAAUAUAAAAAACAGUACAGCAAAGGCUGGAGGGAGUAGUCGGCAAGUCAUCCUUGGCUGCACCAUCCUUUCU